GCCCUGGUGGUGUAGUUCGGUCUAGCAUGAAGCCCUGUCACGGCUUCGACCCGGGUUCAAAAGCCAAUUACGACCAUGGCAUUAGAGGUGUCAGACAGUAAUUGCAUGGAUUUCCCGGCCAGGGCG
Molecule: transfer RNA, 126 nt
Filed under: Nanobdellota archaeon
Lineage: Archaea; Nanobdellati; Nanobdellota
Description: tRNA-Asp
Source: RNAcentral